Gorilla gorilla gorilla (western lowland gorilla) is the source of this 102-nucleotide small nuclear RNA. NCBI's taxonomy places the organism in Eukaryota, Metazoa, Chordata, Mammalia, Primates, Hominidae. The record is from Ensembl.
GUGCUUGCUUUAGCAGCACAUGUACCAAAAUUGGAAUGAUGCAGUUUAGCAUGGCCCCUGUGCAAGGAUGACAUGCAAAUUUGUGAAGUGUUCCCAUAUAUU